Molecule: RNA transcript, 723 nt
Organism: Lycium ferocissimum
Lineage: Eukaryota; Viridiplantae; Streptophyta; Magnoliopsida; Solanales; Solanaceae
Gene name: protein CYSTEINE-RICH TRANSMEMBRANE MODULE 11-like
Exons: 3
Source: RefSeq, a predicted model, not a curated record
AUGCACUUUAUAAACGAAUAAAUCGCAUGGCAUAUAGCAGCUGCCGCAUAUUACGGUCAAUAAAGUGAGCGUCACUUUAAUGAAAAUAACUUUAUUCUGGAUAUCACUGUAUAAAUACGCUACUUGUAUCCCAUUAGUAAUGUAAAAUAGAAUCACUCUUCUUCUAUUGGUUUGAAACAUAUCUUUCUCAAUAACAUGAAUGAGCCUCCAAAGUACGCUUAUCCUUACCCUGCUCAAGGAUAUUAUCAAGGUCCACCAGUGAUGCCUCCCCCCCCCCCCCAAUACUACACAGCACCUCCCCCUAGAAGGGACCCUGGCUUUCUUGAGGGUUGUCUGGCAGCUCUGUGUUGCUGUUGCCUCAUCGAUAAGUGUUGCUGCGACCCUUCCAUCAUCUUCAUGUGCUGAUCUUCCAUUGCUACUCUGCCUGCAGUACUGUUCAAAAUGUACAAUUUGUGCACUUUUCUAACAGAUCUAUAUAUAUUUAUGUAGUUAUCUUCAUUUGUGAGGCCAUGCAUCAAAUGUUUGGUCCCUUGCUGGCAUAAACGUACGCAACACGCACAGAUCCUUCAGUUAUGAUUUGUUGCUAUCGUUCAACUAAUAUUUGUUCUCGCAUAUUAACCUAUUUAUCCCUCUCUUUUUCUUCUACAAAGAUGUCAAUCAAAAGAGUGGCUACAACCACCAAAAAAAAUAAAUGUGUUUUACAACUUUAAUUAAACAGGUUCA